This 300-nucleotide ribosomal RNA is filed under the name uncultured Sinobacteraceae bacterium. RNAcentral's name for it is "bacterial SSU rRNA". It matches the Rfam family "Bacterial small subunit ribosomal RNA", at positions 114 to 417 of the family's 1533-position model. The record is from RNAcentral. Lineage: Bacteria; Pseudomonadati; Pseudomonadota; Gammaproteobacteria; Nevskiales; Nevskiaceae.
UGCUUCGGAAUCUGCCCAUUGGUGGGGAAUAACUAGCCGAAAGGUUAGCUAAUACCGCAUGAGCCCUACGGGGGAAAGCAGGGGAUCGUAAGACCUUGCGCCGAUGGAUGAGCCGAAGUCGGAUUAGCUAGUUGGUAGGGUAACGGCCUACCAAGGCGACGAUCCGUAGCUGGUCUGAGAGGACGACCAGCCACACUGGGACUGAGACACGGCCCAGACUCCUACGGGAGGCAGCAGUGGGGAAUAUUGGACAAUGGGGGAAACCCUGAUCCAGCGACGCCGCGUGUGUGAAGAAGGCCU